This 88-nucleotide transfer RNA is filed under the name Thermoleophilia bacterium. Its description in RNAcentral is "tRNA-Ser". It matches the Rfam family "tRNA". From Rfam's summary of the family: Transfer RNA (tRNA) molecules are approximately 80 nucleotides in length. The record is from RNAcentral. Lineage: Bacteria; Bacillati; Actinomycetota; Thermoleophilia. RNAcentral also lists the same sequence under 2 other names.
GGAGGGGUGGCAGAGCGGUCGAAUGCGGUGGUCUUGAAAACCACUGGCCGGCAACCCCGGCCCGGGGGUUCAAAUCCCUCCCCCUCCG